GGGUGUAGGGUAUUUUUGAAAUAAAAAAAAAAUAGUAGAGAAAUGUAAAAUAUUUUUGAAAUAAAUAAAAAUAGUAGAGAGAUAAAAGCACAAUGGGAAGGUGGAGGGAGCAACACUCCGUUAGCACUAGGCAGCAACGUCCAAUCUUCCCACUACAGCGGUCCAAUUUAGUUUAUUGCAUCAGACCAGCAGCUUCUCAUUGUAUGGCAGCAGCGUCCAGCACGUAACAGCCACUACAUUUCUUCCUUGGGCGUUAAUGCCUCCACCUCCCCAAACCCAUCCUCCACCCCCCACUUUUUUUUAACUUUUUAUUAAUUGCAAAACUAACCUUUUUUUAUUUUUCUUUUUUACUUUUUUAACCCUCCUAAUAAAACCCUAAUUUUACUUUACUUUCUUUCACUUUUACUUUCUUCAUCUUUCACUUUCACGACCCGAAGAGCCCCACCUCCCUUUCCCUGCAUUCUCAACCCCACCCCACCUCCCCUUCCCUUUGCAUUCUCAACCCCACCCCACUUCCCCUUCCCUUUGCAUUCUCAACCCCACGCUCCACCUUCUCUGAAAUUUUUCAACUUUUGCAGUCAACUCUUCCUCUGUGGCAGUGCGGCGCGGUGGUGCGGCGUGGUGGUGCGGCACGGUUGUUUCGUUUCAUUUCUGUCGUCUACGAGGUUAGUUUUCGUUGCGCAUUUGUGUUAAUUUCUUGCUUUGUAAAUGUAUAUGAUUUAGUGUUUAAGAUUGCAUUGAUUUAUGCUCUGGUUGUGCACCAUUGUUAGUUUUGUUUGGUUUCAUUUUGGUGCUGUGAUGUUUCUGAUAGAGGUGUCUACGUAGGAGGAAGAAGACAGAACUUAACGGAUGUCCGAUAUCCGUCGACGGAUGUCGACAUCCGUUUAGGGCCAAUUUUUUAUUUUUAUGUUUUUAGUUUAUUUUAUAAGUAAUUAAUUUUUAACUUUUUAUUUUCUUACGUAAUUAUUUUGUUUUAAUUUUUUUUUGUUUUAUUAGUUUAUUGUAUUUUUAAUUAAUUUAUACAGUAUUUAAAU
This 1034-nucleotide long non-coding RNA is filed under the name Vigna radiata. RNAcentral describes it as "long non-coding RNA (VRAD_LNC008455)". Lineage: Eukaryota; Viridiplantae; Streptophyta; Magnoliopsida; Fabales; Fabaceae. The record is from RNAcentral.